UGCAGCAUCAAGGCUUUCUGGAGCUGACAAUGCUCGUGCUCUACUGUUAGUUACUCUGUUAUCUUGUUGAACAGGCUUCGCUCUUGUCCUAAAACUAGGGGGCGCUGACUGCAACGUCCGAGUUGGUAUCUGGGGCUCAGGUAGUGUGGUUGGUGUUUGCUCCUUAGGACUGACACGCUUGAUGGAAGCUGAUGGCUCAGGCUUUUUCUUCUUGCUCUUCAAAACAGUGAAACACCCCAUCUUACUACAUACAAUAAUACUUCAAAAAUGGAAGCGCCUCCAAACUUUCUGUUCAUGCAAAGUUUCACUUAGACGGAGACGAAUAGAGGCAAAAUGGCGAAAUGGGAACGUGCGUCCUUGAUUCGAUGAGAGGAAACCACGAGAAAGGAAAA
This 392-nucleotide unclassified non-coding RNA is filed under the name Hevea brasiliensis (rubber tree). Lineage: Eukaryota; Viridiplantae; Streptophyta; Magnoliopsida; Malpighiales; Euphorbiaceae. The record is from RNAcentral.